RNAcentral lists this ribosomal RNA (433 nucleotides) under uncultured bacterium. RNAcentral describes it as "partial 16S ribosomal RNA". It matches the Rfam family "Bacterial small subunit ribosomal RNA", at positions 29 to 507 of the family's 1533-position model. The record is from RNAcentral.
AACGAACGCUGGCGGCAUGCCUAACACAUGCAAGUCGAACGAGACCUUCGGGUAUAGUGGCGCACGGGUGCGUAACGCGUGGGAACCUGCCCUUAGGUUCGGAAUAACUCCCCGAAAGGGGUGCUAAUACCGGAUAAUGUCUUCGGACCAAAGAUUUAUCGCCUUUGGUUGGGCCCGCGUUGGAUUAGCUAGUUGGUAGGGUAAAAGCCUACCAAGGCGACGAUCCAUAGCUGGUCUGAGAGGAUGAUCAGCCACACUGGGACUGAGACACGGCCCAGACUCCUACGAGAGGCAGCAGUGGGGAAUAGUGGACAAUGGGCGAAAGCCUGAUCCAGCAAUGCCGCGUGAGUGAUGAAGGCCUUAGGGUUGGAAAGCUCUUUUACCCGGGAUGAUAAUGACAGUAACGGGAGAAUAAGUUCCGGCUAGCUCAGUG